GACGAACGCUGGCGGCGUGCCUAAUACAUGCAAGUCGAGCGAAGUUUUUCUGGUGCUUGCACUAGAAAAACUUAGCGGCGAACGGGUGAGUAACACGUAAAGAACCUGCCUCAUAGACUGGGACAACUAUUGGAAACGAUAGCUAAUACCGGAUAACAGUAUUUCUCGCAUGAGAGAUAUUUAAAAGUUGGUUAUGCUAACACUAUGAGAUGGCUUUGCGGUGCAUUAGCUAGUUGGUGGGGUAAAGGCCCACCAAGGCGACGAUGCAUAGCCGACCUGAGAGGGUGAUCGGCCACACUGGUACUGAGACACGGCCCAGACUCCUACGGGAGGCAGCAGUAGGGAAUCUUCCGCAAUGGGCGAAAGCCUGACGGAGCAACGCCGCGUGAGUGAAGAAGGAUUUCGGUUCGUAAAGCUCUGUUGUUAGGGAAGAAUGGAUAUGUAGUAACUAUACAUGUAAGAGACGGUACCUAACCAGAAAGCCACGGCUAACUACGUG
This 499-nucleotide ribosomal RNA is filed under the name uncultured bacterium. RNAcentral's name for it is "partial 16S ribosomal RNA". It matches the Rfam family "Bacterial small subunit ribosomal RNA", at positions 28 to 507 of the family's 1533-position model. The record is from RNAcentral.